This 714-nucleotide ribosomal RNA is filed under the name uncultured bacterium. RNAcentral describes it as "bacterial SSU rRNA". It matches the Rfam family "Bacterial small subunit ribosomal RNA", at positions 136 to 851 of the family's 1533-position model. The record is from RNAcentral.
CCACGGGAUAGCCUGCCGAAAGGCAGAUUAAUACCGUAUGUGGUCCGAAGACGGCAUCAGAUUCGGACUAAAGGUUCAGCGGUGACGGAUGGGGAUGCGUCCGAUUAGGUAGUAGGCGGGGUAACGGCCCACCUAGCCAUCGAUCGGUAGGGGUUCUGAGAGGAAGGUCCCCCACACUGGAACUGAGACACGGUCCAGACUCCUACGGGAGGCAGCAGUGAGGAAUAUUGGUCAAUGGAGGCAACUCUGAACCAGCCAAGUAGCGUGCAGGAUGACGGCCCUAUGGGUUGUAAACUGCUUUUAUGCGGGGAUAAACUGAGCCACGUGUGGCUUAUUGCAGGUACCGCAUGAAUAAGGACCGGCUAAUUCCGUGCCAGCAGCCGCGGUAAUACGGAAGGUCCGGGCGUUAUCCGGAUUUAUUGGGUUUAAAGGGAGCGCAGGCCGCCCCUUAAGCGUGUUGUGAAAUGCCGCGGCUCAACCGUGGCACUGCAGCGCGAACUGGGGGGCUUGAGUGCGCCGGAGGUAGGCGGAAUUCGUGGUGUAGCGGUGAAAUGCUUAGAUAUCACGAAGAACUCCGAUUGCGAAGGCAGCCUACCGUAGCGUUACUGACGCUGAGGCUCGAAGGUGCGGGUAUCGAACAGGAUUAGAUACCCUGGUAGUCCGCACGGUAAACGAUAGAUGCCCGCCGUUGGGUAUUUUUAUUCAGCGGCCAAG